This 253-nucleotide ribosomal RNA is filed under the name uncultured bacterium. RNAcentral's name for it is "partial 16S ribosomal RNA". It matches the Rfam family "Bacterial small subunit ribosomal RNA", at positions 524 to 776 of the family's 1533-position model. The record is from RNAcentral.
UACGUAGGGUGCAAGCGUUGUCCGGAAUUAUUGGGCGUAAAGAGCUCGUAGGCGGUUUGUCGCGUCUGCUGUGAAAACUCAGGGCUUAACCCUGAGCCUGCAGUGGGUACGGGCAGACUAGAGUGUGGUAGGGGAGAUCGGAAUUCCUGGUGUAGCGGUGAAAUGCGCAGAUAUCAGGAGGAACACCGGUGGCGAAGGCGGGUCUCUGGGCAGUAACUGACGCUGAGGAGCGAAAGCGUGGGGAGCGAACAGG